This 86-nucleotide non-coding RNA is filed under the name Chromera velia. The record is from RNAcentral. Lineage: Eukaryota; Chromeraceae.
ACAAGUAAUCAAUCAAUGGAGACCAAAGGGAAAGAAAGGCCAAAGAACAACCAAGCUUCCUUUCUCUGGAAUGCAGGGGUGCAUGA